RNAcentral lists this ribosomal RNA (489 nucleotides) under uncultured bacterium. RNAcentral's name for it is "partial 16S ribosomal RNA". It matches the Rfam family "Bacterial small subunit ribosomal RNA", at positions 28 to 523 of the family's 1533-position model. The record is from RNAcentral.
GACGAACGCUGGCGGCGUGCUUAACACAUGCAAGUCGAGCGGAAAGGCCCUUUCGGGGGUACUCGAGCGGCGAACGGGUGAGUAACAAGUGAGUAAUCUGCCCUUGGCUUUGUGAUAACCACCGGAAACGGUGGCUAAUACCGGAUAUGACGCGCCCCGGCAUCGGGGUGUGUGGCAAGUUUUUUCGGCCAGGGAUGUGCGCGCGGCCUAUCAGCUUGUUGGUGGGGUAAUGGCCUACCAAGGCUUCGACGGGUAGCCGGCCUGAGAGGGUGACCGGCCACACUGGGACUGAGACACGGCCCAGACUCCUACGGGAGGCAGCAGUGGGGAAUAUUGGACAAUGGGCGGGAGCCUGAUCCAGCAACGCCGCGUGAGGGAUGACGGCCUUCGGGUUGUAAACCUCUUUCAGUACCGACGAAGCGCCGAUGAUGGUGGUGACGGUAGGUACAGAAGAAGCACCGGCCAACUACGUGCCAGCAGCCGCAGUAA